Prunus dulcis (almond) is the source of this 2471-nucleotide RNA transcript. It is a transcript of the gene named adenylosuccinate synthetase 2, chloroplastic-like, with no coding region annotated. Lineage: Eukaryota; Viridiplantae; Streptophyta; Magnoliopsida; Rosales; Rosaceae. The transcript is spliced from 6 exons. The record is from RefSeq and is a predicted model, not a curated record.
CACUAUAAACAAGAAGGAACGCCGGCACCGGAAGGAAGAAGAAAGAAGAGGAAAGAAAAAGAAGAAAGCUCUGCUCCACCAGCGGUUCACCAUGAACACCCUCUCAUCAUUCACAGCUCUCGACUCCAAUCCACUCUCCAAGCCUCGCUCUUUGGGGCCCCACCACCACGAGCCCAUUCACCUCCAGCGUCCCAGAAAUGUUGUGGUAUGCUCGGUGAAGCCCUCAGUUGCCCCUCCCUCAUCUCUGCGUGUGUCUGGGUCCCCCAACCAGGGGCUAAGUCGAAUUGAGUCUCUAACCCAGGUCUCAGGUGUGUUGGGCUGCCAGUGGGGAGAUGAAGGUAAAGGCAAACUUGUCAACAUCUUGGCCCAACACUUUGACAUCGUUGCUCGUUGUCAGGGUGGAGCUAAUGCUGGACACACCAUUUCCAAUGCAGAGGGAAAGAAGUUUGCACUUCACCUUGUUCCCUCAGGUAUCCUUAAUGAAGAGACUCUUUGUGUUAUUGGGGUUUUGAAUAAGACGACCUGGAGUUGUGGUGCAUCUACCAGGUCUCUUUAAGGAGAUUGAUGGCCUUGAAUCUAAUGGAGUCUCCUGCAAGGGAAGGAUAUUGGUCUCUGAUCGUGCUCACCUCUUAUUCGAUUUCCACCAAGUAGUGGAUGGGCUUCGAGAAUAUGAGCUUGCUAAAUCUUUCAUUGGCACUACCAAGAGAGGUUUUGGACCUUGUUACUCUAACAAGGUUAUCCGAAAUGGCAUUCGAGUCAGUGACUUGAGGCACAUGGAUACUUUCCCUCAGAAGCUAGAUAUUCUAUUAUCAGAUGCUGCAUCGAGAUUCCAAGGUUUUGACUAUGGUCCUCAUGUGCUCAAAGAAGAAGUUGAGAAGUACAAGCGAUUUGCUGAGAGAUUGGAACCCUUCAUUGCUGAUACUGUGUUUGUCGUGAAUGAAGCCAUCUCCGAGAAGAAAAAGAUUUUGGUCGAAGGGGGUCAGGCAACAAUAUUGGAUAUUGACUUUGGAACUUACCCCUUUGUAACAUCCUCUAGUCCUUCAGCCGGUGGAAUUUGCACUGGUCUUGGCAUUGCUCCCAGAGUUCUAGGCAAUCUGGUUGGAGUGGUGAAAGCAUGCACUACAAGAGUUGGUUCUGGUCCUUUUCCCACAGAAAUCUUGGAUAAAGGGGGUGAUCUCAUUAGGUUUGCUGGUCAGGAGUUUGGCACAACUACUGGUCGCCCUCGUCGUUGCGGUUGGCUUGAUAUAGCAGCACUGAAACUGCUGUCAGAUUAAUGGCUUUUCUUCUCUCAAUCUCACCAAACUUGACGUUUUGUCGGAUCUUCCUGAAAUUCAGUUGGGUGUUGCCUACAAACAAAUUGAUGGUACACCAAUCAAAUCAUUCCCUGCAGACCUUCGUGAUCUUGAGCAGUUAAAGGUGGAAUAUGAAGUAUUGCCUGGAUGGAAGUCUGAUAUAUCUUCUGUCAGAAACUAUUCUGACCUUCCAAAGGCUGCACGCCAGUAUGUGGAAAGGAUAGAAGAACUUGUUGGCAUACCCGUCCACUACAUUGGUGUGGGGCCUGGACGCGAUGCACUCAUUUACAAAUAAUCAUCACAAUAUUUAUUUCCUUUAGAUUCCAGAUGAUGUUCAAACUAUCAGAAGUAAUACAGAACUUCUGGUGCUGAAGGAAUUUAUUCCCUUUUAUGUCAGAAGCUUUUUUUUGGAAUAGAAUUAAUUGUUCAUGGUUAUGAACAUGAUGCAACGCAUUCUCCACCCUGUGAGGCCACAUGAAGUCUAUGUUGUGUUUAGUGGCUGGGAUAAUAUUUUUUUUCAGUAACCUUAGGUUAGGCAUGGUAGCAACUUUCCGCAGACUUGCUGUAGCUCGACUGAAGGAUCUGUCAAAGAUGUACUUGACACUCAAAUCGAGCUGUGGAAGUGAAUGAAAUGUGGCGACUCUUAAAAGAAAGAUGAAGAUGAGAGCAGAAAUGAGAGAGAGGCCACAGAGACAGUAACUGUCCGAGAAGCAGUAGCAAGGGGCAUGCUAUGUUGUCGCGGAUGACAACCGUCGCUAGUCCUACCUACUUGCUCAUCAAGAAAAAGAGAAUAUGAGAGCUGCCAUGCCAUUCAAGGGGAGAAGAAAAUGGUCUAAGAGAUGUAGUUGAAGAAUUUUUACACAUUUCUUGAUAUGGCAGGGUCAAGCGUUGGAUCAAGGAUGGAUGAAACAGAUCGUUAUCUUGUCCAUUGUCCAGAGAAGCUUUCACGCAAGUUAUGUGAUUUUCCCAAAAGGGGCUUGAUGAUGACAGCGAGAAUUUUUUUUAUUUUAAAAAAGUUGGUAGCUCCAAGAAGUAGCACUUGAAAAAGCACAAGUCCAAGGAUUAAAGGAAGAGAGAAGAAGUAAAUACCUUACUCCCCAUAUUAUUAUUUUCGAUCAAUUUGGCUCAAACUAUAUUAAAAUUGGCAAAAUAACACCUACCCUUUUGUGUUCAUUUCUA